Molecule: ribosomal RNA, 253 nt
Filed under: uncultured prokaryote
Description: partial 16S ribosomal RNA
Rfam family: Bacterial small subunit ribosomal RNA
Source: RNAcentral
GACAGGGGAUGCAAGCGUUAUCCGGAAUGAUUGGGCGUAAAGGGUGUGUAGGUGGCGCGCUAAGUCGGGUGUGAAAUUUCGGAGCUUAACUCCGAAACUGCAUUCGAUACUGGCGUGCUUGAGGACUGGAGAGGAGACUGGAAUUUACGGUGUAGCAGUGAAAUGCGUAGAUAUCGUAAGGAAGACCAGUGGCGAAGGCGGGUCUCUGGACAGUUCCUGACACUGAGACACGAAGGCCAGGGGAGCAAACGGG